RNAcentral lists this transfer RNA (73 nucleotides) under Camelus ferus (Wild Bactrian camel). It matches the Rfam family "tRNA". From Rfam's summary of the family: Transfer RNA (tRNA) molecules are approximately 80 nucleotides in length. Their secondary structure includes four short double-helical elements and three loops (D, anti-codon, and T loops). The record is from Rfam by way of RNAcentral. Lineage: Eukaryota; Metazoa; Chordata; Mammalia; Artiodactyla; Camelidae.
GGGGGUAUAGCUCAGUGGUAGAGCACAUGCUUAGCCAUACACAAGGUCCUGGGUUCAAUCCCUUGUACCUCCU